GACGAACGCUGGCGGCGUGCUUAACACAUGCAAGUCGAGCGGAAAGGCCCUUCGGGGUACUCGAGCGGCGAACGGGUGAGUAACACGUGAGUAACCUGCCCCAGACUUUGGGAUAACCCUCGGAAACGGGGGCUAAUACCGGAUACGACACAGCUUCGCAUGGGGUCUGUGUGGAAAGUUUUUCGGUUUGGGAUGGGCUCGCGGCCUAUCAGCUUGUUGGUGGGGUGAUGGCCUACCAAGGCGACGACGGGUAGCCGGCCUGAGAGGGCGACCGGCCACACUGGGACUGAGACACGGCCCAGACUCCUACGGGAGGCAGCAGUGGGGAAUAUCGCACAAUGGGCGGAAGCCUGAUGCAGCGACGCCGCGUGAGGGAUGACGGCCUUCGGGUUGUAAACCUCUUUCAGCAGGGACGAAGCGUAAGUGACGGUACCUGCAGAAGAAGCGCCGGCCAACUACGUG
Molecule: ribosomal RNA, 462 nt
Filed under: uncultured bacterium
Lineage: Bacteria
Description: partial 16S ribosomal RNA
Rfam family: Bacterial small subunit ribosomal RNA
Source: RNAcentral